CUGGCGGCGUGCCUAAUACAUGCAAGUCGAACGCGAAAGUCCUUCGGGAUGAGUAAAGUGGCGCACGGGUGAGUAAUACAUGGGAACAUGCCCUCGAAUGGGGAAUAACGUUUGGAAACGAACGCUAAUACCGCAUAAUCUCGCAAGAGUAAAGGUGGCGCCGUAAGGGCUACCGUUCGAGGAUUGGCCCAUGUCCCAUUAGCUAGUUGGCGGGGUAAUGGCCCACCAAGGCAACGAUGGGUAACUGGUCUGAGAGGAUGAUCAGUCACACUGGAACUGAGACACGGUCCAGACUCCUACGGGAGGCAGCAGUAGGGAAUAUUGCACAAUGGAGGAAACUCUGAUGCAGCAACGCCGCGUGAGUGAAGAAGGCCCUUGGGUCGUAAAGCUCUUUAGCGAGGGAAGAAGCUGAUUACGGUGAAUAAUCGUGAUUGGUGACGGUACCUCGAGAAUAAGCACCGGCUAAUUUCGUGCCAGCAGCCGCGGUAAUACGAAAGGUGCAAGCGUUACUCGGAUCACUGGGCGUAAAGCGCACGUAGGCGGACUCGUAGGUCAGUUGUGAAAUACCUGAGCUCAACUCAGGAAUUGCAGCUGAAACCGCUUGUCUUGAAUACUUGAGAGGGUGGGGGAAUACCUGGUGGAGAAGUGAAAUUCGUAGAGAUCAGGUGGAACACCGGAGGCGAAGGCGCCUGCCUGGCAAUGUAUUGACGCUGAGGUGCGAAAGUGCGGGGAGCAAACAGGAUUAGAUACCCUGGUAGUCCGCACCGUAAACGAUGGAUACUAGGCGUUCGGAGAGUUAACCCUCUGAGUGCCAAAGUUCACACAUUAAGUAUCCCGCCUGGGAAGUACGGUCGCAAGACUAAAACUCAAAGGAAUUGACGGGGGCCCGCACAAGCGGUGGAGUAUGUGGUUUAAUUCGAAGCAACGCGCAGAACCUUACCUGGCCUUGACAUCGCGAGACCGGUGCAGAGAUGCAUCUUUCCCUUCGGGGACUCGUAGACAGGUGCUGCAUGGCUGUCGUCAGCUCGUGUUGUGAAAUGUUCGGUUAAGUCCGGCAACGAGCGCAACCCCUGUCCUUAGUUACCAUCAUUAAGUUGGGGACUCUAGGGAGACCGCCGGUGUUAAACCGGAGGAAGGCGGGGAUGACGUCAAGUCCUCAUGGCCCUUACGGCCAGGGCUACACACGUACUACAAUGGUAGAAACAGACGGCUGCAAGACCGCAAGGUGGAGCUAAUCCGUAAAACACUAUCUCAGUCCGGAUUGAAGUCUGCAACUCGACUUCAUGAAGUUGGAAUCGCUAGUAAUCGCAGAUCAGCACGCUGCGGUGAAUACGUUCCCGGGCCUUGUACACACCGCC
RNAcentral lists this ribosomal RNA (1358 nucleotides) under metagenome. Its description in RNAcentral is "bacterial SSU rRNA". It matches the Rfam family "Bacterial small subunit ribosomal RNA", at positions 36 to 1394 of the family's 1533-position model. The record is from RNAcentral.